This 649-nucleotide ribosomal RNA is filed under the name uncultured bacterium. RNAcentral describes it as "bacterial SSU rRNA". It matches the Rfam family "Bacterial small subunit ribosomal RNA", at positions 9 to 659 of the family's 1533-position model. The record is from RNAcentral.
GAGUUUGAUCAUGGCUCAGGAUGAACGCUAGCGGCAGGCUUAACACAUGCAAGUCGAGGGGUAUAGUUCUUCGGAAUUAGAGACCGGCGCACGGGUGCGUAACGCGUAUGCAAUCUACCUUUCACAGAGGGAUAGCCCAGAGAAAUUUGGAUUAAUACCUCAUAGUAUAACGACUCUGCAUGGAGAUGUUAUUAAAGUCACAACGGUGAAAGAUGAGCAUGCGUCCCAUUAGCUAGUUGGUAAGGUAACGGCUUACCAAGGCUACGAUGGGUAGGGGUCCUGAGAGGGAGAUCCCCCACACUGGUACUGAGACACGGACCAGACUCCUACGGGAGGCAGCAGUGAGGAAUAUUGGACAAUGGGCGCAAGCCUGAUCCAGCCAUGCCGCGUGCAGGAUGACGGUCCUAUGGAUUGUAAACUGCUUUUGCACAGGAAGAAACAACGCUACGUGUAGCGUCUUGACGGUACUGUGAGAAUAAGGAUCGGCUAACUCCGUGCCAGCAGCCGCGGUAAUACGGAGGAUCCAAGCGUUAUCCGGAAUCAUUGGGUUUAAAGGGUCCGUAGGCGGUUUAGUAAGUCAGUGGUGAAAGCCCAUCGCUCAACGGUGGAACGGCCAUUGAUACUGCUAGACUUGAUUAUUAGGAAGUAA